This 253-nucleotide ribosomal RNA is filed under the name uncultured bacterium. RNAcentral's name for it is "partial 16S ribosomal RNA". It matches the Rfam family "Bacterial small subunit ribosomal RNA", at positions 524 to 776 of the family's 1533-position model. The record is from RNAcentral.
UACGAAGGGGGCUAGCGUUGUUCGGAAUUACUGGGCGUAAAGCGUACGUAGGCGGGUAUUUAAGUCAGGGGUGAAAUCCCAGAGCUCAACUCUGGAACUGCCUUUGAUACUGGGUACCUAGAGUAUGGAAGAGGUAUGUGGAAUUCCGAGUGUAGAGGUGAAAUUCGUAGAUAUUCGGAGGAACACCAGUGGCGAAGGCGGCUUACUGGUCCAUUACUGACGCUGAGGUGCGAAAGCGUGGGGAGCAAACAGG